AUUAAAAAAGAGGAAGAGAAAGAAAAGAAAACUACACUAGGUUCUCAUCUUAACCUGGGAGUCACCUCUGUCUUCCUGGCAUCCGCACAAUCAGUAGGACCCAGCAAUCUCCCGCAGGACAUUUUCUAAAGUGCCCAGAGAGAAGGUCCUCCUAGAAAGCAGAAGGCUUUCCCCCACCUUCCACCAUGCCCACUGUCACAAGGAUUCGCUGGGAGCCAUUCACUUCUGUGUGGCUGUAACCUCUGGCUUUCCCAAUCAAGCAGCUAUGGUGCUCUCCUUGCCCAAAUCCAUGAAUCUGCACUCAAGUCUGGGAAGUAACUUUGGCCACAAAAGGAAUUCCAUCUUAUAGAUAGAAGAGGAGAGGUGAUGUGAGCCCCUAUAUAUUAACAUCUCUAUCUGUUCAAGAGCUUCUCCAACUACUUUUUUCUGUUAAGUAAACCUGUCUGUGAGUAAAAUAAACAAGGAGUUGAUUCAAAUUCUGCUGUGUGAGGAGAGAAUCUUCCAGUUUUUGAGGACAAGAGAAACCAAAUUUUAUGGUGAUUUACCCGUAGCAAUUGAAGAUCACCAAGAGAGAAGACUUUUAUUUUUCUGUUUUUGGUGUGUUUUAACUUGUUUUCAUUUAGACUGUUUUGAAGAUGGAUUGGGAGGAGGAGAGUGAAGAAUGAAAAGCUCUAUGUUAGAGGAAUCUAUAUGUGCAGUUUCCUUAUUAACUGUAUGUGUCAUCCUCAGAGAUGCUGCAUGACCUGGUGAAAGAACACGGGCUUUGGAGAUAGAUACUCAUAUAUUUGUACUUAUGCUUGAAUCCCAUCUCGGUUACUUUCUACCUGAGUAUAAUUUAUAGCAUGACAGUUAUUAUCAGGAGCACAAAGGAAGCACUGUUUUCUGUAAAUGAAGAUAAGAACUGUUUUGCAAUAUUAUUGUGAGAACUAAUGAAAUAAUUUUGUAAAAUGCUUAAGAUAGUACCUGUCAUAUAUUUAAUAUUUAUUUAUUAUAUUAAAUUUAUUAUUAAAUAAUAAUAAUAUUUAAUCAUGGCAGUCUGCAAUCAUGACAAAUUCUGAUAAUAAUAGCAUUUAGGAUGGGCAUGGUGGUUUAUGCCUGUAAUCCCAGCACCUUGGGAGGCCAAGGAGGGAGGACUGCUUGAGGCUAGGAGUUCAAGACCAGCCUGGGCAACAUAGCAGGGCCCUGUUCCUACAAACAAACAAACAAACAAAUAAUCAAAAAACGUAGCCGGAUGUGCUGGCGUGUGCCUGUAGUCCUAGGCUGAGGCAGGAGGAUCAUCUGAGUCCAGGAGUUCGAGGCUGCAGUGAGCUACGAUCACACCACUGUACUCCAGCCUGGGUGACAGAGUGAGACUCUGUCUCUAAAAGAGAAAGAAAAAGAGAAAGACUAAUAGUUUUUGUUUGUUUGUUUGUUUGUUUGUUUUAACUGGAGUUGGAGGGCUUCUGCCAAAAUUUUCUGUUUCUAACUUUUUUGGUUUUUGUUUUUAUAAAAUAUAUUUUAUUUUUAAAAUAGAC
This 1514-nucleotide long non-coding RNA is filed under the name Pan paniscus (pygmy chimpanzee). RNAcentral describes it as "lncRNA (ENSPPAG00000044374.1)". Lineage: Eukaryota; Metazoa; Chordata; Mammalia; Primates; Hominidae. The record is from RNAcentral.